RNAcentral lists this ribosomal RNA (482 nucleotides) under Enterococcus faecium. Its description in RNAcentral is "partial 23S ribosomal RNA". It matches the Rfam family "Bacterial large subunit ribosomal RNA", at positions 356 to 840 of the family's 2925-position model. The record is from RNAcentral. Lineage: Bacteria; Bacillati; Bacillota; Bacilli; Lactobacillales; Enterococcaceae.
CAAAGAGGGUAAAAACCCCGUAGACGAAAUGUGGAAGACACCUAGGAGGAUCCUGAGUACGGCGGAACACGAGAAAUUCCGUCGGAAUCCGGGAGGACCAUCUCCCAAGGCUAAAUACUCCCUAGUGACCGAUAGUGAACCAGUACCGUGAGGGAAAGGUGAAAAGCACCCCGGAAGGGGAGUGAAAUAGAACCUGAAACCGUGUGCCUACAACAAGUCAAAGCCCGUUAAUGGGUGAUGGCGUGCCUUUUGUAGAAUGAACCGGCGAGUUACGAUUGCAUGCGAGGUUAAGUUGAAGAGACGGAGCCGCAGCGAAAGCGAGUCUGAAUAGGGCGUUUGAGUAUGUAGUCGUAGACCCGAAACCAUGUGAUCUACCCAUGUCCAGGUUGAAGGUGCGGUAAAACGCACUGGAGGACCGAACCCACGUACGUUGAAAAGUGCGGGGAUGAGGUGUGGGUAGCGGAGAAAUUCCAAACGAACUU